GCCCGAGUGAUUGAUACAAGUGGUCGUCUGGCCCCCGAUAGAUUAAAUAUAAUUUGACCCAAAAAUGUAAGACGAGGAAACUCUAAAUUUAGGUGGAAGUUGUUGACAAAGAUCUACCGUGAAACUUAAACCGUCAGCGGAUCGGAUCGCUUUUGAAAUAUUUCCCAGGACGAGUACUC
This is a long non-coding RNA of Hyposmocoma kahamanoa, 179 nucleotides long. RefSeq lists it as uncharacterized. The record is from RefSeq and is a predicted model, not a curated record. Lineage: Eukaryota; Metazoa; Arthropoda; Insecta; Lepidoptera; Cosmopterigidae. The transcript is spliced from 3 exons.